AUUGAACGCUGGCGGCAGGCCUAACACAUGCAAGUCGAACGAGUGGCGGACGGGUGAGUAAUGUCUGGGAAACUGCCCGAUGGAGGGGGAUAACUCCUGGAAACGGUAGCUAAUACCGCAUACCAUCGGAUGUGCCCAGAUGGGAUUAGCUAGUAGGGGGGGUAACGGCUCACCUAGGCGACGAUCCCUAGCUGGUCUGAGAGGAGGACCAGCCACACUGGAACUGAGAAACGGUCCAGAAUCCUACGGGAGGCAGCAGAGGGUAAUAUUGCACAAGUGGCGCAAGCCUGAUGCAGCCAUGCCGCGUGUAUGAAGAAGUCCUUCGGGUUUUAAAGUACUUUCAGCGAGGAGGCGUUACUCGCAGAAGAAGCACCGGCUAACUCCGUGCCAGCAGCCGCGGUAAUAC
Molecule: ribosomal RNA, 406 nt
Filed under: uncultured bacterium
Lineage: Bacteria
Description: partial 16S ribosomal RNA
Rfam family: Bacterial small subunit ribosomal RNA
Source: RNAcentral